UUGAGAUGAGGGGUAAACCAGGCUUUGGCAUAUUAAUCUGGUUUAUAUGAACGAAGGAGGUGUGAUUAGAUGAUACUUGGUACACCUCACUUCAUCAAAAUUUGAGUGAUUUUAUUAAGUUUUGGCUUUGUCCAAUGUAUCACAUUGGGAAAGAGAGUGGCGCCAUCCUGGCGUGUGAAAGUCUCUUCCCCCGACAUUCGGUUUAGUAACCGUUGGUUUGGGGCGCCCUAGUAGGUGUGAUGUGACGAUUGCCAGAUGACCGCUGCUCCACUACGACUCGGACCAAUGAAAUUUGAAUGUGGCUGUUCGGCACGUUUCCGACGUCAUAAGUGACUUUUUGGGGGGCGAAUCUGAUUGUCGUAUUCAAUUCAAAAUUCAAGAACAGUUACGUUGCGGGAAUAUAAAAAGCGAGGUUGCGUUGGGGCUCGCUCUCUGAAAGUUCGGUUCUUCAAGGCAAGCAGACAGUUUCUCCUCGAUUCAUCAUAUUUCAAGUACAAAAUACAACAGCCGAAUCAUCGCGCUGCCCAAAAAUCAGAAUAACUUAUUGAAAGGAAUUAAAAGGUGACUUCGGUGUGGUCUGCAGUUGAUCAUCCCCACAGAUUUCACGUCCUUGGCGCACGGCCGCUCCAACUAUCACAGUCCCCGUAUAAUCCCUGAGAGUCGGACAAUCUUGCUCGCCGAGAAACCCUACACCAAUUAUUAUUCCUUAUGUCCUUCCGCUUUAUAUCAAGCUGUAACCGCAAGCAAACCGGGCACGCUACUGGGUUUGAUCCCGGGGCAACCAGAGUAAUAAGAAGAAGAACAGUCAGCGGAAGGGCGGUCGCAUAACUAAUUGAAGUUAAAUAAGCAAUGUCUUAAUCAAACUUUACGCAAUUGUAAAGCAUGUAUAAAGGAAAUAUUUAGAAUAAAGCCAAUAUAUAAACUUCCUUUCCGUAUAGACGUAUUUACGUCAAAUCCUCCGGAACCGUGGUUCCAAUGACAACUUUUUCCUUGCAGGAUUGAGGUUACGGGACCACUGCCCCACCAGAGGAAAUACUCUUUACAAUUCCAUGAGAGAAGGAUUCAUUUUCUGAAAAAUAUAGUGAAAAGGAACUUGUGGAGUGUAGCUUGUACUGGCUUCGUCUUCUCCGGCUCUGCAGUAUGACAGUAGAUCGUCUUUUUACUCCCUUGCCGAAAUGUUAAGAGCAGUUACUCUCUCUCUCUCUCUCUCUCUCUCCUGCUUCUUUCUCAAGAAGUGGUUACCCUUGGCGCUCCGGAGGGAGUUUUUGGCCGCGUGCCAUCUCGAACAAGACUCGAAUAUGACGUCUAUGGUAUGUUUGAACACGACCAAACUUACUGACGGUAUGACGCACAUAAUUUUCUUUGUUUAUUUUAUCUUGGACCCGGUUAGUUGGGUAUUUUCAGUUGUCUGGUUCGAACGUUGACAUUUACAUCUGAGCCUUCGUCUGUCCGAGACUGAAACAGGCGAAGAUGGAACAUUUCAGUUAACCCGUUCUGACACACACACACACACCCGCCAGGCAGUGAGGCGAGGGGUAUAAUGUUCUUGUACUUGUCUGAAGCUUUCUCGGCGGUUGGAGUCCGAUGUUUAACUUCGAUUUUCGGGUGACAACCGCGUAGGAUAUUCAGUGUUUACAAACGUUUCGGCAAACAUUGCUGUUGUAAUUUUCAAGAAGGUUAAAGAGUUCAGUUGCGAGAUGUCUCAGGAAGCAAAGCUUAAAAUACACGAUUCUGGGUGUGAAACUUGGUUCAUCAGCUUGUGGGAAUAAUAUGUAGAUUGAGUGUAAACACAAAGAAGUCAGGUGAAGGUGUCGAUUGUGGCCUUCCGGUUUGUGACGCCGUGUGAACUUGUAGGCAGUUCACAUUUUCCAGAGGAGCAGGAUCCCUCCAUCUUCACGACUGAAGAUGGAGGCAUUGGGUUCAUUUGAAAAAUUUUAUCACCCACAAGUCCGCAAACCAGAAUAACAACUUUGUCACCUGAGGCGACCAGUUUUUUUGAAACGAAGAGGAAGGAAGUGGGAGGAGACUGGAGGAGUCACGUGAUGUGCUUGGAAGAAGUGAGAAAAGCAGACGAAUUUUGGUCGGAGAUAUCACUUAGGAAACUUAAGCGUUGGUAGGACUGUAAUAGUAAAAUGGUUACUUUUAUUUCAUUAUUAUUGUAUGUAUUAUCAGUGCUUGGCUGUUAUUGGCCUUAUUUGGGUGUUGUCAAGUACUUAAAUAAAUGAAUUGAAUUGAAA
Zootermopsis nevadensis is the source of this 2237-nucleotide long non-coding RNA. RefSeq lists it as uncharacterized. The record is from RefSeq and is a predicted model, not a curated record. Lineage: Eukaryota; Metazoa; Arthropoda; Insecta; Blattodea; Termopsidae.